AUUGAACGCUGGCGGCAGGCCUAACACAUGCAAGUCGAACGGUAACAGGAAGAAGCUUGCUUCUUUGCUGACGAGUGGCGGACGGGUGAGUAAUGUCUGGGAAACUGCCUGAUGGAGGGGGAUAACUACUGGAAACGGUAGCUAAUACCGCAUAACGUCGCAAGACCAAAGAGGGGGACCUUCGGGCCUCUUGCCAUCGGAUGUGCCCAGAUGGGAUUAGCUAGUAGGUGGGGUAACGGCUCACCUAGGCGACGAUCCCUAGCUGGUCUGGGAGGAUGACCAGCCACACUGGAACUGAGACACGGUCCAGACUCCUACGGGAGGCAGCAGUGGGGAAUAUUGCACAAUGGGCGCAAGCCUGAUGCAGCCAUGCCGCGUGUAUGAAGAAGGCCUUCGGGUUGUAAAGUACUUUCAGCGGGGAGGAAGGGAGUAAAGUUAAUACCUUUACUCAUUGACGUUACCCGCAGAAGAAGCACCGGCUAACUCCGUG
RNAcentral lists this ribosomal RNA (490 nucleotides) under uncultured bacterium. Its description in RNAcentral is "partial 16S ribosomal RNA". It matches the Rfam family "Bacterial small subunit ribosomal RNA", at positions 30 to 507 of the family's 1533-position model. The record is from RNAcentral.